AGGUUUGAGCGAUUCUGUUGCCCUUCCUUUCUCGAACCUUGAGAGAGAGAGAGAUGCUAGCUAGCUAGGCUGGUUUCGAACAUUACAAGGAGGGAAAGUAUGCCUUCACUUUAUAGCUUAUACUGAUACUGAUGAUAAGCGCUAGCUAAUUAAUUGGUCCCUUCAUUUGCUACCAUCCCUUGCGUACGAUCGGGAGAAAGGAGAGACCAUGAGGACGAAGCCUGUGUGCCAUGAGAUCGAAUUUAGAUGCCAUUGGUCUUAGACAAAGGACAUGUGCUGCAUAGUGACAGAAAUCGUCCUUCAUUACGUAAGGGAUCGAGUAAUAGCAUCAUGUUUGAGAGCGCGAGUAUUUUUUUAAAAUUUAAAUUUCUUUUUAUUUUUUAAAGAUUAUUUUGAUAUUAAAAAUAAUUUUUUAAAAAUAAAAAAAUAAUUUUAAUAUAUUUUUAAAUAAAAACACUUUAAAAUACAAUUACUACCACAUUCUCGAAUAUCUUAUUAUAUAAAAUAUUAUAGGGUAAUAACAGUGUAAAUUAUUGUAUAAAUAUUUUAUAAAAUUUCAUGAAUUAAAAAUAUUUUUUUAAUAAAUCAAUUGAGUUUAAAAAUUGACAUUGAUUAAUUACCAUGCAAAGUAUUUUAUGAAAAAAUAAAUAAACAAAUUCAAAAUAUAUUUUUUUAUAAAAUAUUUUACACAAGAUAAAGGGUGUGUUUGGGAUUGUAAUAGCUGUUCAAAGUACUAUCUAUAAAAUAUUUUAUAAAAUUUCAUGAAUUAAAAAUAAUUUUUCAAUACAUCAAUUGAGUUAAAAAUUGAUAUUGACUAAUUAUCAUGCAAAUUAUUUUAUGAAAAAAUAAAUAAAACAAAUUCAAAAAUAUUUUUUAUAAAAUAUUUUACACAAGAUAUUUGGGUGUGUUUGAGAUUGUAGUAGCGGUUGCGGUUCAAAGUAUUUUUUACUUAAAAAUGCAUCAAAAUAAUUUUUUAUAUCAGCACAUUAAAAUGAUUUAAAAACAUAAAAAAAAAAUUAACAA
Molecule: long non-coding RNA, 1023 nt
Organism: Populus trichocarpa (black cottonwood)
Lineage: Eukaryota; Viridiplantae; Streptophyta; Magnoliopsida; Malpighiales; Salicaceae
Exons: 2
Source: RefSeq, a predicted model, not a curated record